Molecule: long non-coding RNA, 566 nt
Organism: Tarenaya hassleriana
Lineage: Eukaryota; Viridiplantae; Streptophyta; Magnoliopsida; Brassicales; Cleomaceae
Exons: 2
Source: RefSeq, a predicted model, not a curated record
CUAAUCUCAUGGCCAUGUUUUUAACCAGAAACCUAUACUCUGUUCGGUUCUACCGACAAUGUCAAGGCUUUCAGACAGUUGUUGCAGAGAUGAAAACAUUCUCAUACAAGGGAGAAAGCAUGUAUACAAGGGUUAUAAGUUAUAACCCGAAUAUCGGUCCGACCCAUGAUCAUACAGGAGAACCAGAAAGCAGAGGACCUAACCAUCACUGCUAUAACUUGUCCCAGACCUGUGUGAAGAAUGUUAGCUUCGAAAGUGUUUGCCAUGCAAAGCAAUCUGUUCCGGUAAGAAGGAUAGAAAGGGGGGACCCAUAGUGGUUUCAUAGACUAAAUGCCUUUUUCCCUCUUCUGAAAAAGAUUCCAAGCAAAAGAGGGUUUCAGCAUCAGAAACCAAAUCUGGUGGAGUUUUCCUCGUUUUUGGUCCUUAAUCACUAUGAAACCAAUGCGCCACUUCACCCUGUUUUGUCCAAAAUUUACACAAAUUCUGAAACUUUUUUGCUGUGGACUGUUAUUAAAUUUUGAAACUUUAGGUGGUUGGAAGUUAAAACCCAUCAUGGUAGUAGAUUC